This is a long non-coding RNA of Humulus lupulus (European hop), 1141 nucleotides long. RefSeq lists it as uncharacterized. NCBI's taxonomy places the organism in Eukaryota, Viridiplantae, Streptophyta, Magnoliopsida, Rosales, Cannabaceae. The transcript has 2 exons. The record is from RefSeq and is a predicted model, not a curated record.
CUUAAAUAAGUAUGUGAAUAUUUCAGCAUGAUCUAGAAUAUGAUAUUUUAGUCAUAAAUUUACGAAUUUGAUAUUGUUGUUAGAAAGUUACUUAGUAGACUUUGUCUGUUUUCAGUUGGUGAACACAGGAAAGGAAAGGGCAAAAGUCAGCCUUCUUUUUACAUGGGCGGAAGGCAAUGUUGCCAACCAGAGGGAACAUCUAAUUCUUCUCCUUGCCAAUAUUAACAUUCAGAAAGCUAAUAAGCAGUCUGUCUUGAAGGUAUUCUGAUUGUUAAUUAAGGUUGUAAAGCUUUGCCUUGUGGUGUUUAUUCCAUAUUGGCUGCUUCCUAAUUAUUUUUAGUUUUCUGGUUUUGCCUUGUGGUGUUUAUUCCAUAUGCCUUGUGACGUGAUUGGUUUGAAUAGAUGCUUUGAAAUAUACACAAGUUAGCUAAUCUCUACCUCUAUUUUGGGCAGUGAAUGCUUUUUCUUAUGAGACUAAAUUUUUUUUGUUGUAUUUUAAGUUGUGGAUAACAAUUGGUUUAUAUUUUUUAAGAUAACAAUUGGUUUUUGUGCUGUGGAUCAUUAGAUCUGUUUUAUUAACAUAAGGAUGUAAUAUUUGCUUCUACAUUUACUAUCAUUCUAGUCAUAGAAAUUUAGUAUAGUUUAGUUACAAGUAAUUUAGUUGCUGUUGUUGACAAUUUGUGGUAUCUAAAAGAUGGAAUACAUACUGUAGUCUUGAAAAAACUUUCAGAAAAUGGUAAGAGCUAUGUGGGUUUUACAGUUUUAUUUUUGUAUGAUACUUUAAGCACUGAUCUGUAGACUUAUCUCAGUUUUUGGUGGAUCCUACUCCAUUUUCUAGGAUCUUGCAGGCAAAGGACACCAAGUGAAUUAGAUAUAGAGGUUAAGAACUUGAGGGUGGCAUUUACUGACCUGUUUUUGAAGCAUAACACUUUCAAAGAAACUGCAAAGCCAUCGAGAUAUUGAUGCAAAGAAUGGAAGAAUGUAUUUCACUAAUUUUUGUAUACAUUUCUUGUUUUGUAUUUAGUGAUAAAGGAAUCUGAAUUGGGCAUAAAUUAUGUUGUAAUAUGAUUUCUUAAGCCUAGACUAGUAGACUAAAUAUUGUAAUUACAUUUGAGUAAUUAAUAAAAAUUUAUUUAUGUUA